AGAUCAUUUAUGAAAAAGAGAGUACUCUGUAAGGAUGUUCAUAGCGAGCAAGGAAUCGGUGUAAGCCUUGCACUACUUACAGACGAAGCGCACUUUGGAAAUGUUUGCUUGAAACGAAGUAGAGCAGACCGGGACUUCCCGUUAACAAGUCAAGUGGCCUUUUGGCAACGAGAGUGGUACCGCGGUCAAUAUCCGUCUCUUCU
RNAcentral lists this non-coding RNA (203 nucleotides) under Fictibacillus phosphorivorans. RNAcentral's name for it is "T-box sequence". It matches the Rfam family "T-box leader". Rfam says of the family: Uncharged tRNA acts as the effector for transcription antitermination of genes in the T-box leader family. T-boxes are found upstream of many aminoacyl-tRNA synthetase genes and some amino acid biosynthetic genes usually in Gram-positive bacteria. The anticodon of a specific tRNA base pairs to a specifier sequence within the T-box motif, and the NCCA acceptor tail of the tRNA base pairs to a conserved bulge in the T-box antiterminator hairpin. Lineage: Bacteria; Bacillati; Bacillota; Bacilli; Caryophanales; Fictibacillaceae. The record is from RNAcentral.